GUGUCAUAAAUUCUUACCGAUUUUUCACUUCUUUAUUUUGUAACCUAUAGACAUAUUUGUUAAUUGUAAAGUACCUCACUUUUACAGCACAUUAUCAUAGCCAGUUUGGUAGUAUAUUUGGUGAAAGGUGAGAACCCAAAGUGGUGAUUUUUAAGGUAUAAUUUUGGUUAGUGUCGUCUGGUCAUCGUUGAAAUGGGACCGGGACGACAGUGUAGUGAAAAUGUGUGUAUGCGCAAAAGCAGCACUGCGCAGUACGCUAGUGCAGGUGAAUUUUAUACAUUGUAACAAGAUGACUUGGCCUGAAGCUGCUCUGGUACUACAUGUAUAUAGUUCAGUGGUUUAUUGUCUCUUAAUAACUAUUUUGGUUAGGGUUAUGUUUGGUAAAAUGAUAAUGCAUUACAUUACAGUAUCCUAGGCUGAGGACUUCAUGGUGCUGAGGGGGUGGAUUUGUAUAUGUGUGUGUGUGUCUGCGUCAGCCAGCGGCCGGGGUUGACUGUAAGUGCGGGUGCAUGGGUGUGUGUGUUCUGCCCCUGAUGUGCCAUGUCGCCCCAUGCCUUGUUUAUUAUGGAGAUGGGAACAAUUUAUUACUGAAUCACACGCAACUCGAUGUACCAAACUUCUCGAGUCAAUACUUCUAAUCCCUAAACUUUGCAUGAUAUUAUAAGCUUUGUCUUGCCUAGAAUGUAACUUCAAUUAUUGUACACUGGAUACUAGUUUUUUACAGGCGACCCUCUGGGCCCUGACAGAAUUAAACUGGUUGACAGGAAGACCAGAAGUGUCAUGGUGCCAUCCCAUCUAGUCUGCCCAGAACCUGCGUGCCUCACCCCCCUCCCCCUAGUGUGUUGAUCUACCGACUGGACCCCACUGCUUCCCCCCGACCGCCCACUCUACAAGAGUUUGACUUUAAAACAAUUCAUUUCAUUUCGGAAAAGUGUCUUAUGUUUAUUGAGUCGCUUGUAAAUGUGAACAAAAUGGUGCGGAAUUGCCAAAUAUGUAACAAAGUUGAAUAUUCUUGUAAUCCUUUUAAGUGCUGUGACUACAGUCUGCUCUCAUGAAGAUGCAUUUUCCUGCCCUGAAGGAACGUAUUUGUACAUGUCUGUGAGUCAUGACGAAUGAUGAAUGACCAAUCUUAGCUUGUCUCAGCAACUUGAAGCAGCAGUUUCAGGCAAUUUUGUUUACAGGAUGGACUGAAUGAAGCCUAGGAAAGAUGGAUUCCAACUGGCUUUAACCCUAAGAGAGCUUAACCCUAAUGGAGGCCAACCCUAACAAAUGCUAACCCUAACUGAGGCCAAUCCUAAUUGCGGGGGGGGGGGGGUCAAUCUUGGACGGUCACGGACAGCCUGUGCACACCAAGCCGUGGAAAUGCACAGUGCUGUGUUUAAAGUGGUUUGCUUUCAUGGAGAUGCAAGCACCUGGCUGAAGUGAGCAUGGGUGAGCCACAGUGGUUGAUUAGUGACCAAUCCUAGCUCUUGUCUCAGCAACAUCAACCAGCAGGUGGACUUGAGCUUCUAACCAUCCAGGCUUGAGUGAUCAAUCAGUAGCUCUAGGCUCACAAACAUCAACCAGUAGCGCUGUGUUUAAAGUGGUUUGCUUUCGUGGAGAUGCAAGCAACUGGCUGAAAUGAGCAUGGAUCAGCCACAGUGGAUGAUAAGUGACCAAUCCUAGCUCUAGUCUCGGCAACAUCAACCAGCUGGUGCGGAAAUGCCUCCACGUGCCAAUACAUUGAAGCCAAUUUCCAACUUGUGGAGCGUCAAAGAAAGAUGAUUGACAUUUCCCCCCUAACCGCUCCUUUAUCAGUGUUGGGUUUACUUUGGUCGACCUUCAUGGAGAUGCCAUUGACUGGCUAAAGG
This 1850-nucleotide long non-coding RNA is filed under the name Acanthaster planci (crown-of-thorns starfish). RNAcentral's name for it is "uncharacterized LOC110982981, transcript variant X4". Lineage: Eukaryota; Metazoa; Echinodermata; Asteroidea; Valvatida; Acanthasteridae. The record is from RNAcentral.